Molecule: ribosomal RNA, 492 nt
Filed under: uncultured bacterium
Lineage: Bacteria
Description: partial 16S ribosomal RNA
Rfam family: Bacterial small subunit ribosomal RNA
Source: RNAcentral
AGUGAACGCUGGCGGUAGGCCUAACACAUGCAAGUCGAACGGCAGCACAGUAAGAGCUUGCUCUUACGGGUGGCGAGUGGCGGACGGGUGAGGAAUACAUCGGAAUCUACUUUUUCCUGGGGGAUAACGUAGGGAAACUUACGCUAAUACCGCCUUCGACCUACGGGUGAAAGCAGGGGAUCUUCGGACCUUGCACGAUUGAAUGAGCCUAUGUCGGAUUAGCUAGUUGGCGGGGUAAAGGCCCACCAAGGCGACGAUCCGUAGCUGGUCUGAGAGGAUGAUCAGCCACACUGGAACUGAGACACGGUCCAGACUCCUACGGGAGGCAGCAGUGGGGAAUAUUGGACAAUGGGCGCAAGCCUGAUCCAGCCAUACCGCGUGGGUGAAGAAGGCCUUCGGGUUGUAAAGCCCUUUUGUUGGGAAAGAAAAGCAGCAGGUUAAUACCCCGCUGUUCUGACGGUACCCAAAGAAUAAGCACCGGCUAACUUCGUG